GACCAAGUCGAGGAGAAUCUUUCCGUUUAUCAAGUAUGAAUCUUGUCAAACAAAUCAAUGGCUGAAAUGCAUCAAGUGGAGCAAAAUCAAAAUUCAGUUUUGGGAAUUCCAGUCUAUAAAAUCAUUGAAGAGGUUAAAUAUGCUGCAAAAGUAUAAAGAUGUCACUGAGAAACACAUAUCUGAUAAAGAUCCCUCCUGCUUGAACUUGAAGUCUGCCUCAGAAAGAUCUCGAAGUGGUGGAAGAAAGUUGACAUGCAAAAAGGACAAAAAGAGACAAAAGAUAGCAAAUGAAUUUAUAAAAUAAAUCUUGUAUCAAAAGAAAUAUCAUUGUAUUACUAAAUUUGAUAUUGUUCCUCAGUAAAUUUGUAUUCAUUUAA
This is a long non-coding RNA of Mytilus californianus (California mussel), 377 nucleotides long. RefSeq lists it as uncharacterized. The record is from RefSeq and is a predicted model, not a curated record. NCBI's taxonomy places the organism in Eukaryota, Metazoa, Mollusca, Bivalvia, Mytilida, Mytilidae. The transcript has 3 exons.